GCCGGCCCUGCGCCGCUCAUGUGGGGAGGGGAGGGGAGCACGCCUUGCGGGAUGCCUCCGCCCGCGGCUGCUGCUAGCUCAGGGAAAGAGGUAGAAAGGAGUGGAUUGAGGGUAGAAGAUGACUUGACAAGUGGAGCCCGCGUGGAAGUGAAAGGAGUUUAGAUGGGCCUAGUUGGGCUGCUGCUUGCACAUUGGGCCGGUGGGGUGGAGAGAACUGGGCUUAUCUAAUUUGUGGAGUGGAGCAGACUUUUUUGGAGUGGAGUGCUCCCAAACAAACCCAUAGUGUGUCCCGCCACGAAAACCUGCAUGCCUUCAAUUUUUUAAAUCCAAAUCCUUUUUCCAUUAGGCGCUUAUUUUUCCGUCGCCAAAAACUUUUUCCAAACCUCGCGCUCAUCCCUCUCAUGAGACCUCAAUUUUCAAUCCGCACCAAAGCAAAUGGAAUUUAUGUGUAUAAAAAGGCCUGCCCAACUAUCCUGUUCCCAUCGCCACUCCCUUCCUUCAGCUCCACUUAGCCAUGGCAGAUCCACACCCAGUUCAUGGAAUUGAUCUCAAUGUUCCAGCGUCUGAAAAUGAUCCUGAAGAGGAUGCUCAGGAGCUGCGGCAACCUGUUGUCCAGGUUUAUAUAAGUAACCCGAUUGACUAGGAUCAGGUGCAAGAGGAAUUUUUUUGAUUUGAGCAACCCCAUAUUUUUUUUUCAUCAGCCUAAAGAAGGUUACUACAUUACUUGAAGUUAUGUCUUUCUUUUCGCUCUUCUUUUGGUCGCUAAACUGUAUGUCAAAUUCGUAGGAGAUGAUCAAGAUCAGGGCGUUGGAGAAGAUGAACAAGUUCCUCACGCUGGUGGAGAUGGACACCACAAUGGCCAUGGAUCAGUACUGCCUUAUCUGAAUGCAAUGUCUGAGAUUUAGAGGAUGGUACUGAUGACAUAUUCGAGGACUUUGGUACUAAUAUUGAUCAAGGUAGCAGCUCUGGUACAAAUAUUAGAAAAAGGAAGCAAUACAGUGAUGACACAAAGUGAGCAGUAUAUGCAAUGCUAUUAGAGGGAUCAGUGCGAGGCCAUUUGCCAGAAGGGGUGUCAUUGCAUGUGUCUUUGGCUGUGGAUGUUUCUCUCAGAUGUGUGCAGCCCAUAUGGAAGGAAGGCCAAAAAGGGGAGGAAUGCAUGCUGUCAUAAACAAGAGAGUGGGGCAUUGUGGACUAAAAAAAUUGAACUUCCAAUGGAAUCCAUCACUGCCAUACCAUUCCAAGACCGAACAACUUUAGAAGAUCUAGCAAGAAGGCUGGGAGUGUCCAAGAGCCAUGUCCAUAGGCUGUUGAAAGAAGGAAAAAUUGAACGGCACUCGAGUGCCAUCAAGCCAUUUCUUACAUUAUGAAAAUAAGAAGGCACGGGUGCAUCAUGCUCUCAACAUGUUAGAACCAAGUACAAUUCCUCACAACCGAUCUUUAAACAUAUGUACAAUGUGAUCCAUGCGAAUGAAAAAUGGUAUUAUAGGACUAGAUCGAAUCAAAAGUAUUAUUUUGCGCCGGGUGAAGAAUGACCUCGUCGAACUUGCAAGAGCAAAAGUUACAUUGAAAAAGUUAUGUUUUUUGGUGGACAAUCUCGACCUUGGUUCAAUGAUCAGAAUGUCUGUUUUUUUUUUAUGGGAAGAUUGGUAUAUAUGCAUUUGUUACCACUGAACCUGCUAAAAGGAAGAGUCCUAAUAGGCCACGUGGUACUCCAAUCACAAAGCCAAUCACAUCAGUAACAAGGGAUGUAAUCAGACGAUAUCUCAUUAACAAGAUGUUGCCCGAUAUCAAGGCAAAAUAGCCAGCUGAGGGAUGCCAUGAGACAAUAUGGAUACAACAGGACAAUUGUCGAAGUCAAAUCCCAGUUGAUGAUCCUGAAUUUUGUGUAGCGGCUCAAGCUGAUGGAUGGGAUAUCCGUUUGACUUGUCAACCAACGAAUUUCCCAGACACAAACGUGCUGGACCUUGGAUUGUUUGCAGCCAUACAUGCAUUGUUCCAUAAGAGUGGCAUGCCAAAAGCCAUUGAUGAAAUUGUGCAAAAGGUUCAAGCAGCUUAUUGGAAUUUUCCAGUUGGUAGGUCAAAUAGAGUAUUCCUUACUCUUCAAAGUUGCUUACGGGAGAUACUCAAAGAAAAAGGAGGGCAACAUUACCCUGUGCCUCACAUGAAGAAGGCGAUGUUGGAGAGAUUAGGAACGCUGCCAAAAACUUUGUCAUGUGAUCCAACGAUUGUUCAAACAUAGACAAGUGGUCUUAUUUUGAAAAUUUUGUCACAUGAAAAAGAUAAUGAUGCAAUCGAAUUUAAUUUGGAUGCACAGUUUAAGAUUUAUAAUUUUUUUAGUAUAAACUCCUCUUGUAUGUGGGUGAUAUCAUUAAUUUUAUCUUCAUCUA
This is a long non-coding RNA of Panicum virgatum (switchgrass), 2387 nucleotides long. RefSeq lists it as uncharacterized. The record is from RefSeq and is a predicted model, not a curated record. The transcript has 3 exons. Lineage: Eukaryota; Viridiplantae; Streptophyta; Magnoliopsida; Poales; Poaceae.